Molecule: long non-coding RNA, 1100 nt
Organism: Cotesia glomerata
Lineage: Eukaryota; Metazoa; Arthropoda; Insecta; Hymenoptera; Braconidae
Exons: 3
Source: RefSeq, a predicted model, not a curated record
GCUGAUUUACAAGAGUCAAAUUAAUUUUUGUAUUUAGCCUACAAACCAAUGACUUAGAUUACCGGUGACUUAGAUUCCAAUUACCUAGAUUUCCAUAACCUAGAAUCCGAUUACCUAAAUUAUCAAUGACGUAGAAUUCCUAUGGGGUAGAUUACCGAUUACCUAGAAUCCCGAUUACUUAGAAUCCGAUUGCCUAGAAAUCCGAUUGCCUAUAAUUCUGAUAACUUACAAUCCCUAUCGCAUAGAUUUCUUAUACCGUGACAAAAAAAAGUUAAAUUGAAUAGAUGGCGCCAUAUGUAACAAAACUUUCAUCUCAUUUUAAAAUUCAAGAUUGUUUUUAUUAAGCGACAGUAUAAUCAGAUAUGUUCAACUUAUAUUUAUUAUGGAGUAGAGUAAUGUGUUAUGGAGUCCCAUGGCGCAUCGCGCGGCUGGAACAUUGUUCAUCUCUGCCAAAACUUGACAAGUAACUCAUCAAUCGUGCCUUCAACCUUUCAAUUAGUGUUAUUACUAUUAAUUACGAAAAAGUGAUAGUUUUUUGGUGAAAAUCAAUUGUUAAAAAAAUUAUGUCGCCAGUGAAAAGUGAAAUUAAUUGUUGUGUUAUUGAAAAACGACAUCACCCAAAAAGAAGAAUAACAAGAAGAUAAAACUAGUGAAUUUAUUAUUUAGAAAUAUUAAAUUCAUUGCCAGAGUUUGGAUAAACAUUAAAUAUUUAUGUUUUAACUUAAAUUAUAAAAAUUUGGACUGGAAGUUUGUUUAAAAUUGAAGCCGAAGUAACUUUUAGCAAAGAAGACUAUUAUUUUGACUAUUGUAAGUGAUGUACUACUUAUUGGAGCAACGAGCCAUUUGUUUUGGGACAUUGAAGUAAUAAAUGACAGCCAUGCAAUAUCUUAUGCUUGCCAGGAAGUUGGAUCCAACCAUGUAAAAUCUGUAGCUAAAAAUGGAAUUUCAGUGGCUGAUUUAAAAAAAUUCAAUCACGAAGGGUGCCAUUGAAUUUUUAUUAACCAAAUUUGUAAAUAUGAAAGGUCGGGGUUCAAAAUAUGGAUCAGACUAUUUAUCAGUUUGUUUUGAAUUUUUAACAAAAAAAAAAAAAUUACCAUGGG